Molecule: long non-coding RNA, 3547 nt
Organism: Pongo pygmaeus (Bornean orangutan)
Lineage: Eukaryota; Metazoa; Chordata; Mammalia; Primates; Hominidae
Exons: 8
Source: RefSeq, a predicted model, not a curated record
GUCCUGCUAGCGCCAUCUCCUUCCCUGUCCCUGCUUGGGCAGGAGGCCCAAGCCCUGACAACAGAGGUGAGAGAGGCUGUGCCAGCCCUGCUCUGGGCAUGUCUGGGCCUAAGGGCCAGGCUCUGCCUCCAGUCUAGGGCCAAGCUGGGGCCUGUAGCAGGAUCAGAUAGAGGCAAAGCAUUGAUGAGGCAGGGGGAUGGACAAAAUGGGCCUCCCAGCCACACCACAGCCACAGAGCCCUCCGCUCACAAACCAUCCCGGCCUCGUCAGAACCUGGGAAGGGUUCCUAGUUGUGCAGGCAGGUAGAAGCAGCAACACAGCAGGAGUCUCCGCAGCCUGUGGCUGGGCAGGCUGUACCCUGAGUGGCCUCUUCCCAACCGCACCUCACCCUAUACUCCAGGGUCACAAGCUUGAAUCUUGCUCUUAUCGCCAAGGCUGGAGUGCGAUGGCGCAAUCUUAGCUCACUGCAACCUCCGCCUCCCAGGUUCAAGUGAUUCUCCUGCCUCGGCCUCCUGAGUAGCUGGAUUACAGGGAUUCACCGUACGUACCCCUUUCCCUCCGGCACUGGAGCCCAAGUCUCCCGCUGAGCAGGCCCCUCUCCCUCCACGCCCAGGCUUCUUAAACCAACCCCUCCUCCCCUUGUCAUUCAUGAACCAGAUGCAGAAACUGAGGCUCAGAAGCGUUCGGCCACGUGCAUGCAUUGCCUUUCCCAUUGGUGCUCCAUCGCCAGUAAUAAGCCUGCUACAGUGAAGGUUCUUUUGGAGGCCAGUGACAGAAGCCAACUCAGCCAAAAGUGGAAUCCAAAGCCGGGCGCGGUGGCUCACGCUUGUAAUCCUAGCACUUUGGGAGGCCGAGGCGGGCGUAUUACCUGAGCUCAAGAGUUCAAGACCAGCCUGAGCAACACGGCGAAAACCUGUCUCUACUAAAAUACAAAUAAUAAGCCAGGCGUCGCGGCGUGCGCCUGUAGUCCCAGCUGCCUCACCUGUAGUCCCAGCUACUUGGGAGGCUGAGGUAGAAGUGCUUGAACCCGGGAGGCGGAGCUUGCAGUGAGCCGACAUUGCGCCACUGCACUCCAGCCUGGGCGACAGAGCGAGACUCCACCUCCAAAAAAAAAAGUGGAAUCCAGUGGGAGGGUGCCAGAGUGUGUCACAGUACAAAGGGAAAUUGAAGAGCCAAGACCCAGGAACGGCAGGGACCAGGGCAGUCCUGUGGAUGCUAACAGCGGGGGUUCAUGGCCUCUGUCUGUGGAGCACAGCCAGACAGUACCAGAGACUCCUCUCUGCUCCAAUUUCCUGGCGGACAGAAUCUAAUUGGCUCAGCCGUGUCAGGUGCCCACCCCUGGUCCAAUCAGCAAUGGCGGGGAAGGGGUGGACUCCCAGCCAUGAUGGCGUAGGGGUGGGGCAGGUCCUAGGGCAGUUAAUACAGCUGAGGGCCGAGAAACUCAGUAGGAGGAUAGCUACUCAAGGAAGAGGUUUGUUCUGUGCAGAAAAAAAGGAUCUGAGAUAUUGGCGAGGUCCAAGAGCCCAUGGCACCCCCCUCCCUUUUCUAGGAUCUUCUUGAGAUUCUGAGAACCACUCACUAAUUUAAGAAACUUGGCUUUCGGCCGGCCGUAGUGGCUCACGCCUGUAAUCCCAGCACUUUGGGAGGCCGAGGUGGGCGGAUCACCUGAGGUCAGGAGUUCGAGAUCAGUCUGGCCAACAUGGUGAAACUCCGUCUCCACUAAAAAUACAAAAUUAGCCGGGUGUGGUGGCGCAUGCCUGUAGUCCCAGCUACUCGGGAGGCUGAGGCAAGAGAAUCGCUUGAACCUGGGAAGCAGAGGUUGCGGUGAGCCGAGACCACGCCAUGCCUGGGCAACAAGAGCGAAACUCUGUCUCAAAAAACAAAAAGAAGAAAAAAAAAGAACCUUUCCUCUCACCUAUUCUUCCACUGUGAAUAUCCUUCCCUGAUUCUGGCACCCACUUAUGGACUUCAAAGUCACUUAAAAUGUGGUUCAAAGACCACUUGUUUUAGAAUCACCUGGGAAGUAUGUUAAAAAUACAGCUUCCAGGCCCGGUGCCAUGACUCACGCCUGCAAUCCCAGCACUUUGGGAGGCCAAGGCAGGUGGAUCGCUCGAGCUCAGAAGUUCGAGACCAGCCUGGGCAACAUGGCAAAACCCCAUCACUACAAAAAAUACGAAAAAAUUAGCCAGGCAUGGUGGCAAGCACCUGUGAUCCCAGCUAAUUGCAGGGCUGAGGCAAGAGGAUCACCUGAGCCCAGGAGGUCGAGGCUGCAUGGUGACGCAUGCCUGUAAUCUGUAAUCCCAGCUAUUUGGGAGGCUGAGGCAAGAGAAUCGCUUGAGCCCAGGAAGCAGAGGUUGCAGUGAGCCGAGAUCACGCCACUGCACUCCAGCCUGGGCGACAGAGCCAGACUCCGUCUCAAAACAAACAAAAAAACAGGUUCUGGACAUUGGGCCUAGGAAUCUAUAUUUGAACCUGCUCUAUAAGCGAUCCAGGUGCACAGCAAAGGUUGAGAAGUGUUUCAGAUGUAGCUUCAUCCCAGCUCUCAAACUGCCACAGAUUGCAUAAAGUGCUGGUGCUCACGGAAGGCCCCAUCCUUGCCCUCCAUCCUUUCCACCAUGCCCUGACCAUCUCCUUGAUCUUGUCCCAGCACUGUCUAUCAAGACCUCAAGUCCCUCUCCUAGCAGGAGCCUGGGACCCUGUGAUAGGCAAUUUUUGCUCUAACCCUACUCCUGAUACCAUCUUUUCUCUUUUUUUUUUUCCUCUCCUUUCUUUUUCUUUCUGUUCUGAUUCUCACCAACGUUCAUUUUUAAUUUUAUCAUUUAAAAAUAUUUUAUAGUUAUGUAAACAACCUCAAACUUUUUUCCAGAGCUAGGUGAUGAAUAACCAAAUAGGGGAAGGAAUUUCAAUUGCCCCUAAUCCUAUAUUAGUCCCUGUGCAGAUGGGCCUAAUGAGUACUGCACCAGGAUUUCUAAUUAACCUUAAUGAGCUUCUAAAAUUCAUGGGGCAUGAUAGAAUGAGGUUGAUUGUUAAUCAAAUGGCCCAAUGAAUCAAGCCUCCUGGUAUCUACGCCCUUGGAUAGGCCCCUCCCAUGGUGACUCUGGGAUUGGCCACGCGACUUGCUUUGGCUAGUGGGACAUCAGUGACUAUGACACAGAGGCCAGAUAAGUGCUUGUGAUUUGGGGCUUACUCUGUUAGCACUGUCCUGGAACUACCAUGUGAGGAAACCUAGGCUACAUGGUCAUCCUUGAGGAUGAAGGAUCUCAUGAAGAGUGAGGCUUAACCAUCCCCACAGUCCCAGCUGAACCUAGCCCACAGCCAUUCUUCCAGCUGAACGUAGCUGCACAAGUAAGCCCUGGAAAAAUCAGCAGAAGAAUGCAGCCAACCCAUAUUUUCAUGAGAAAUAAAAAAAAAUUACUGUUUUAAGCCUAAGUCUUGGGUGGUUUGUUAUGCAGCAACAGCAAACUGAUACAAUGGGUCACAGUAACACUCACAGGACAGUAUUUCUGUGCUAUUUCCACUUGAUAUUCUGGAGCUUCAUGUAGAUCUG